GCGCCCUUAGCUCAGCUGGAUAGAGCAACGGCUUUCUAAGCCGUGGGUCGGAGGUUCGAAUCCUCCAGGGCGCACCA
Molecule: transfer RNA, 77 nt
Filed under: Alphaproteobacteria bacterium
Lineage: Bacteria; Pseudomonadati; Pseudomonadota; Alphaproteobacteria
Also listed under: 1 other name
Description: tRNA-Arg
Rfam family: tRNA
About the family: Transfer RNA (tRNA) molecules are approximately 80 nucleotides in length.
Source: RNAcentral